UCUGGCCCCGGGUGUUUUCCAGCAUACACAGGCUGACUCCAGAUUGAGAUGGGUGGAGCGAACAGGGGACAGGUUACAUCACAUGGGAGACAGGACAACUAGUUUUUAAAUGCCCACAAAGUGGUGGAAUUGCCUGCGAUGCACAGACCAGGUGGAGGGGAGCAGCACAUCUACGCCCCACCUGGGCGAGCCCACGGUGGUGAGGGAUCAGCAGGACAGGGACAGCGCACAGCGUGCAGAAUGCUCCAGUGCACAGGAGUGACUGGCUGCAGACCAGCUGGGACACCGUGGUGGCCUCUUCCAAGAGUGAGGAGAAGGUGGACACACGAAGCCAACCUCGUCCCUCUGCAGGAUGCUCUGGGUCGGCCCCCACGCCCCUCAGGGCUGUCCAGGCUGGGCAGCCUGCCCCGCCCUCCUGCCCUCUGCCUGGCGGUCACAGUGCACUUUGCCCUCUGCCUGUGGGAGGCCCAGUCUUCCUCCCGCUCAGGUCUGGAAGCUCUUCGGCUGCAGAAGUUCAUUGCCAAAGAUUCAACAGAGACACCGAGCACAAGGGGCUGAAGCCCAGCAGCCAAAGGCCACAUUGUGGCUCUGUGGCCUUCGUCCCUCCUGUUGCCAGAGUCCACCUGUCUCAAGCCAAAGAUGAGCCAGCAACUCCACCGGGAGCCUGAGAAACAGAGGGACAGGGUGACCCUCGAGAGCACUUGGCCCACAGAGCCAGUGCGGUCCACACAGGGCCCUGGGCUGGCGAGUUCAGGAGAAGCCUUCUUGGGCCUGGGAGGGAGGCAGGGAAGGGGCCAAGGUCCCUUCCCUUGCUGCCCCACCCUGGCCACCCAGACUCUGGCCCUGAGGAGUGGCUGGGGAGAGGUGGCAUGCUCUAGCCGGGCACUAGCCCAAGGCCACCUGCCCAGGGGACAUGCACGCUGGUGGCCCUGCCAUCUCCCCAGGCUUCCUUGAUGCAACGAGUGGCGGCCUGCAGAGGCCGGUGGUCUGUGGCAGGCCAGGUGGGAGGGGGAGGACGACGGGACCAGGCGAUGGCCGCGUAGGGAGGGUACCUAGGCCGGGGCCAGCGCCCUCUUAAGCUCACAGGCCAAAGCUGCUCACAUGUGUUCAACCAUCUGCUUCAAAUUGAAGUAAAAGCCCGACAUGUAAAGCACACUCCUGCUGUGCCCAGCGGAUUCUGUGGCUGGGAAGCUGGGGACAGGGUGGCCUCAUCUGAAGGUGGAGGGCCCGAGGGUGGGGAGCAUGAGGGCAGAGGAUCCACGUGGCCUUGGCCAGGAGUGUCAGGAGGGCAGGAUGCCUGACCCGGGUGAGGAGCCCCACGCUUUUGCCUCGCAACCUUCAGAGGGUCCUUUGCUAGAGACUGAGCCCAGGAGACCAGCCAAUCCGUGACAGUGCCCGUCCUCAGAUCAGGAUGGCCUCACUUAGGACCCUGUACUCGAAAACCGUUCCUGGUCCUAUUGCCAGGCCCAGUCCACCCUCCUUGGGUGGCCUGAGACCAGACAGUGAAAGCCCACCGCAAGGAGGGAACCGAGGUGCGAUAUAGGAAAGGACUGCCCAG
This 1558-nucleotide long non-coding RNA is filed under the name Marmota marmota marmota (Alpine marmot). Its description in RNAcentral is "lncRNA (ENSMMMG00000008908.1)". Lineage: Eukaryota; Metazoa; Chordata; Mammalia; Rodentia; Sciuridae. The record is from RNAcentral.